This is a long non-coding RNA of Andrographis paniculata, 480 nucleotides long. RefSeq lists it as uncharacterized. The transcript has 3 exons. The record is from RefSeq and is a predicted model, not a curated record. Lineage: Eukaryota; Viridiplantae; Streptophyta; Magnoliopsida; Lamiales; Acanthaceae.
GAGAGAUCUAGUGCGAGAAGUGCUUGAAGGGAACUCUAGAGGUCCUCUGAUAUGAUAUAUAUUCAAUUGGGAAAUAUUAAUUAAUUAAAUAAUUAAUUUCCCACACCUCGUCUUCUUCUUCUUCUUCUUGCUGCUAUUUAUAGGGUUUUCUUCUCUCUCUCUCUCUCUCUAUGGAGCUUUGUGGCAAAUUAAAAGGCAUUGGGUGCUGGGAGGCAGAAUUCUUCAAUUGUGUAUGAACCUGGACGUCUCUGUGGAUGAAUUGAAGCAAGGCAAACCCUCCCCACUUCCCACAAUGGCGUCCACAUACAUCCAUCCCUGCAGAGGUGCGCUGCUCAAAGUAAAGUUUCAGUUGAACUUAAUGGUCUGUAAAUUAGGCUCAAUAUAUAUUAUGUAUUAUUCUCUAUGUUUCACAUAUCAUGUUCACGUUACUGUUUCUAUCCGUCUCACAUUUCAUGUCACUUUUCUUUUUUGGAAAAUCAU